AUUGAACGCUGGCGGCAUGCCUUACACAUGCAAGUCGAACGGCAGCACGGGUGCUUGCACCUGGUGGCGAGUGGCGAACGGGUGAGUAAUACAUCGGAACAUGUCCUGUAGUGGGGGAUAGCCCGGCGAAAGCCGGAUUAAUACCGCAUACGAUCUACGGAUGAAAGCGGGGGACCUUCGGGCCUCGCGCUAUAGGGUUGGCCGAUGGCUGGUUAGCUAGUUAGUGGGGUAAAGGCCUACCAAGGCGACGAUCAGUAGCUGGUCUGAGAGGACGACCAGCCACACUGGGACUGAGACACGGCCCAGACUCCUACGGGAGGCAGCAGUGGGGAAUUUUGGACAAUGGGCGAAAGCCUGAUCCAGCAAUGCCGCGUGUGUGAAGAAGGCCUUCGGGUUGUAAAGCACUUUUGUCCGGAAAGAAAUCCUUGGCCCUAAUACGGUCGGGGGAUGACGGUACCGGAAGAAUAAGCACCGGCUAACUACGUG
RNAcentral lists this ribosomal RNA (486 nucleotides) under uncultured bacterium. RNAcentral describes it as "partial 16S ribosomal RNA". It matches the Rfam family "Bacterial small subunit ribosomal RNA", at positions 30 to 507 of the family's 1533-position model. The record is from RNAcentral.